Molecule: ribosomal RNA, 292 nt
Filed under: uncultured bacterium
Lineage: Bacteria
Description: partial 16S ribosomal RNA
Rfam family: Bacterial small subunit ribosomal RNA
Source: RNAcentral
GUGCCAGCCGCCGCGGUAAUACGUAGGGUGCGAGCGUUGUCCGGAAUUAUUGGGCGUAAAGGGCUCGUAGGCGGUUUGUCACGUCGGGAGUGAAAACUCGGGGCUUAACUCCGAGCCUGCUUCCGAUACGGGCUGACUAGAGGUAUGCAGGGGAGAACGGAAUUCCUGGUGUAGCGGUGAAAUGCGCAGAUAUCAGGAGGAACACCGGUGGCGAAGGCGGUUCUCUGGGCAUUACCUGACGCUGAGGAGCGAAAGUGUGGGGAGCGAACAGGAUUAGAUACCCCUGUAGUCC